RNAcentral lists this ribosomal RNA (253 nucleotides) under uncultured bacterium. Its description in RNAcentral is "partial 16S ribosomal RNA". It matches the Rfam family "Bacterial small subunit ribosomal RNA", at positions 524 to 776 of the family's 1533-position model. The record is from RNAcentral.
UACAGAGGGUGCGAGCGUUGUCCGGAAUCACUGGGCGUAAAGGGUGCGUAGGCGGCGCGGUAAGUCGGGUGUGAAAUCUUGGAGCUUAACUCCGAAACUGCAUUCGAUACUGCCGUGCUUGAGGACUGGAGAGGAGACUGGAAUUUACGGUGUAGCGGUGAAAUGCGUAGAUAUCGUAAGGAAGACCAGUGGCGAAGGCGGGUCUCUGGACAGUUCCUGACGCUGAGGCACGAAGGCCAGGGGAGCAAACGGG